GGAGAGGUGGUUGAGUUGGUUGAAGGCGCUCGCCUGGAAAGCGGGUAGACGAGUAUAUCGUCUCGCGGGUUCGAAUCCCGCCCUCUCCG
This 89-nucleotide transfer RNA is filed under the name Sporanaerobacter sp. PP17-6a. It matches the Rfam family "tRNA". From Rfam's summary of the family: Transfer RNA (tRNA) molecules are approximately 80 nucleotides in length. Their secondary structure includes four short double-helical elements and three loops (D, anti-codon, and T loops). The record is from Rfam by way of RNAcentral. Lineage: Bacteria; Bacillati; Bacillota; Tissierellia; Tissierellales; Sporanaerobacteraceae.